This 519-nucleotide ribosomal RNA is filed under the name uncultured bacterium. RNAcentral's name for it is "partial 16S ribosomal RNA". It matches the Rfam family "Bacterial small subunit ribosomal RNA", at positions 28 to 523 of the family's 1533-position model. The record is from RNAcentral.
GACGAACGCUGGCGGCGUGCUUAACACAUGCAAGUCGAACGGACUAUUUCAUUUCGGUGGGAUGGUUAGUGGCGAACGGGUGAGUAACGCGUAGACAACCUACCUCUUAGAUGGGGACAACAUCGCGAAAGCGGUGCUAAUACCGAAUGAAGUGACUUUCCUGCAUGGGAGAGAUACUAAAGGUGGCCUCUAUUUAUAGGCUACCACUGAGAGAUGGGUCUGUGUCUGAUUAGCUAGUUGGCGGGGUAACGGCCCACCAAGGCGAGGAUCAGUAGCCGGUCUGAGAGCAUGAACGGCCACAUUGGGACUGAGACACGGCCCAAACUCCUACGGGAGGCAGCAGUGGGGAAUCUUCCGCAAUGGACGAAAGUCUGACCGAGCAACGCCGCGUGAGUGAUGAAGGCUUUCGGGUCGUAAAACUCUGUUGCCAGAGAAGAACGUCGGGUAGAGUAACUGCUGCCCGAGUGACGGUAUCUGAGAAGAAAGCCCCGGCUAACUACGUGCCAGCCGCCGCCGUAA